Molecule: unclassified non-coding RNA, 236 nt
Filed under: uncultured fungus
Lineage: Eukaryota; Fungi
Description: partial contains 5.8S ribosomal RNA, internal transcribed spacer 2, and large subunit ribosomal RNA
Source: RNAcentral
AAGGAUCAUUACCGAGUAUAGGGGUCUCCCUCGUGGAGGUCCCGAACUCCCACCCCGUGCUUACGUACCUCUGUUGCCUCGGCGGGCCCGCCGGGAACUCUUUAUGAGUCCCCCCGGCAUCCGGCUUUCGCGCUGGACAGCGCCCGCCAGAGGACCAACCAAACUCGUCUUUGACCGGCAGUCUGAGUAAAAUAACAAAUAAGUUAAAACUUUCAACAACGGAUCUCUUGGUUCUG